Acanthopagrus latus (yellowfin seabream) is the source of this 570-nucleotide long non-coding RNA. RefSeq lists it as uncharacterized. The transcript has 3 exons. NCBI's taxonomy places the organism in Eukaryota, Metazoa, Chordata, Actinopteri, Spariformes, Sparidae. The record is from RefSeq and is a predicted model, not a curated record.
UGGAGGGAAGUCUUCGAAGUGUGUUUUUUUCCCCAACAAUUGUCGGUCGUUGUCUGUGACGGUGAGCUUCUCCGACGGUUCCCCGGGACGAGCCAGCGGCGACUUGUUGACUUUUUUUGGGAGAGAGCUAAGCUAAGCUAUGGCUGUAGCGCAGCUCCCCGCUCCAGGCACUACAUCACCGGAGAGGAAACUCGAAACAUCCCUCCCCCCCAAACACACUGGGCAUGACAUGUGUAGGAGCCCAUAUUGUAAGCAGUGGCAUUGCGGAUGAGCAGACGGGACACUCCAUCUUCAUUUGUUUCCAUCACGUUGGCAGUCCGGAAAUAAGUCCAGGAAUAUUUCGGUCGUGGGUUGCCCAUGGAGGAGCACUUCAGCCCCACGGUAGAACCAACAUCCACUUCAGAGUCUUCAAGCUCAAGUAUUGGUGAUGGUUUACAAGAUCUUCAUGAAAAUAACUUACAUAGGACAGUAAUCUCAACUGUGUGGUUGACACUGGACCGACUGUUUGAAGCCGUGAUCAUGUACUGCCCUGCAUCGUGUCGUGUCAGUAUUUGAGGGAGCUCCACCUCC